This 492-nucleotide ribosomal RNA is filed under the name uncultured bacterium. RNAcentral describes it as "partial 16S ribosomal RNA". It matches the Rfam family "Bacterial small subunit ribosomal RNA", at positions 29 to 507 of the family's 1533-position model. The record is from RNAcentral.
AGUGAACGCUGGCGGUAGGCCUAACACAUGCAAGUCGAACGGCAGCACAGUAAGAGCUUGCUCUUACGGGUGGCGAGUGGCGGACGGGUGAGGAAUACAUCGGAAUCUACUUUUUCGUGGGGGAUAACGUAGGGAAACUUACGCUAAUACCGCAUACGACCUACGGGUGAAAGCAGGGGAUCUUCGGGCCUUGCGCGAUUGAAUGAGCCGAUGUCGGAUUAGCUAGUUGGCGGGGUAAAGGCCCACCAAGGCGACGAUCCGUAGCUGGUCUGAGAGGAUGAUCAGCCACACUGGAACUGAGACACGGUCCAGACUCCUACGGGAGGCAGCAGUGGGGAAUAUUGGACAAUGGGCGCAAGCCUGAUCCAGCCAUACCGCGUGGGUGAAGAAGGCCUUCGGGUUGUAAAGCCCUUUUGUUGGGAAAGAAAAGCAGCAGGUUAAUACCCCGCUGUUCUGACGGUACCCAAAGAAUAAGCACCGGCUAAUUUCGUG